AGUUGGUGGAGCGAUUUGUCUGGUUAAUUCCGAUAACGAACGAGACUCUAAUGUGCUAAAUAGUUACGCGACCUUAUCGGUCGGCGUUUGGAAACUUCUUAGAUAGACUAGUGGCGCUUAGCCACACGAAAGUGAGCAAUAACAGG
This 146-nucleotide ribosomal RNA is filed under the name Metazoa environmental sample. RNAcentral describes it as "partial small subunit ribosomal RNA". It matches the Rfam family "Eukaryotic small subunit ribosomal RNA", at positions 1296 to 1460 of the family's 1831-position model. Lineage: Eukaryota; Metazoa. The record is from RNAcentral.